This 497-nucleotide ribosomal RNA is filed under the name uncultured bacterium. Its description in RNAcentral is "bacterial SSU rRNA". It matches the Rfam family "Bacterial small subunit ribosomal RNA", at positions 28 to 511 of the family's 1533-position model. The record is from RNAcentral.
GAUGAACGCUAGCUACAGGCUUAACACAUGCAAGUCGAGGGGAAACGAUAUUGGAAGCUUGCUUCUGAUAGGCGUCGACCGGCGCACGGGUGAGUAACGCGUAUCCAACCUGCCCAUCACUUGGGGAUAACCUUGUGAAAGUAAGACUAAUACCCAAUGACGUCUCUAGAAGACAUCUGAAAGAGAUUAAAGAUUUAUCGGUGAUGGAUGGGGAUGCGUCUGAUUAGCUUGUUGGCGGGGUAACGGCCCACCAAGGCGACGAUCAGUAGGGGUUCUGAGAGGAAGGUCCCCCACAUUGGAACUGAGACACGGUCCAAACUCCUACGGGAGGCAGCAGUGAGGAAUAUUGGUCAAAUGGACGAGAGUCUGAACCAGCCAAGUAGCGUGCAGGAUGACGGCCCUAUGGGUUGUAAACUGCUUUUAUAAGGGAAUAAAGUGAGUCUCGUGAGACUUUUUGCAUGUACCUUAUGAAUAAGGACCGGCUAAUUCCGUGCCAG